CCCUUAGAUGUCCUGGGCCGCACGCGUGCUACACUGACGCCUACAGCGAGUACUUCCCAGCCCCGAGAGGCGGCUGGUAAUCAGCAAUAGGCGUCGUGAUGGGGAUAGAUCUUUGGAAUUAUGGAUCUUGAACGAGGAAUGCCUAGUAAGCGCAGGUCAUUAGCCUGCGCUGAUUACGUCCCUGCCCUUUGUACACACCGCCCGUCGCUCCUACCGAUUGAAUGGUCCGGUGAAGCGUUCGGACCGUGGCCUUUGGACGGUUCGCCGUCUGUUGGCUGCGGGAAGUUCGUUAAACCUUAUCAUUUAGAGGAAGGAGAAGUCGUAACA
RNAcentral lists this ribosomal RNA (327 nucleotides) under uncultured eukaryote. RNAcentral describes it as "partial 18S ribosomal RNA". It matches the Rfam family "Eukaryotic small subunit ribosomal RNA", at positions 1470 to 1796 of the family's 1831-position model. The record is from RNAcentral.